GUCUACAGCCAUACCACCCUGAAUGCACCCAAUCUCAUCUGAUCUCAGAAGCUAAGCAGGGUCGGGCCUAGCUAAUACCUGGACGGGAGACCGCCUGGGAAUACCAGGUGCUAUAGGCU
This 119-nucleotide ribosomal RNA is filed under the name Saimiri boliviensis boliviensis (Bolivian squirrel monkey). The record is from RNAcentral. Lineage: Eukaryota; Metazoa; Chordata; Mammalia; Primates; Cebidae.